RNAcentral lists this ribosomal RNA (377 nucleotides) under uncultured bacterium. Its description in RNAcentral is "bacterial SSU rRNA". It matches the Rfam family "Bacterial small subunit ribosomal RNA", at positions 523 to 898 of the family's 1533-position model. The record is from RNAcentral.
AUACGUAGGGGGCAAGCGUUAUCCGGAAUCACUGGGCGUAAAGGGCGUCUAGGCGGCAAGGCAAGUCUCGCGUAAAAGCUCCCGGCUCAACUGGGAGAGCGCGCGGGAAACUGCCUGGCUAGAGACUCGGAGAGGGGUGUGGAAUUCCCGGUGGAGUGGUGAAAUGCGUUGAGAUCGGGAGGAACACCAGUAGCGAAGGCGGCACCCUGGCCGAGUUCUGACGCUGAAGCGCGACAGCGUGGGGAGCAAACGGGAUUAGAUACCCCGGUAGUCCACGCCGUAAACGAUGACAACUAGGUGUCGGGCAUCUAAGGAUGUUCGGUGCCGCAGCCAACGCGAUAAGUUGUCCGCCUGGGGAGUACGGCCGCAAGGCUAAA